RNAcentral lists this long non-coding RNA (2918 nucleotides) under Mus musculus (house mouse). RNAcentral's name for it is "long non-coding RNA chr5:121806138-121809056". Lineage: Eukaryota; Metazoa; Chordata; Mammalia; Rodentia; Muridae. The record is from RNAcentral.
AUCACUGAAUGUGUCGGCCUUUCCAGAGCAUCAGGAAUGCACACCUCAAGAGGCUAAUUUACCUUUCUAUUUCCCACAUUCAGCAUGUCCCAAAUUACCAUACAACAAGGAGACAAGCCCUUCUUUCUACUUUGCCAGUGAGUUGGGGUUUUUAUACUAAUUUUAACUACACAGUAAACACUAUUUAAGGGAUACGUGUUAAAGUAGCUAAUUUGUUGGAGAACAUUUUCUUUCUACCAGACAGAAUUAUUCAAAGUAUGCAUGUCUGGGCUGGGGAUGUGGCUCAGUGGUGGAGUAACUUGCUCUAGCAUGCACCAGGCCCUGAAUUCAUUCCCUAGUACAAAAAAAAAAAAGGUAAAGUUAAGAUUUGUGGCUCUGUUUGUAUAAUUCAGAGUUUUGACAAAAGAACUAUGUCUUAUGUCAUAGCUUAAGAAAAUUGGAAUCAAAGACUGAGUUCUUUCAGGAAGCCAUUUUGAAUACAACGCAAGAGUGUAGCUGUAUGGGAAAUACCUUGUUUUCCUCAUUCUGGGAGACUUUUUCUGAACUGUUGGUAGUAUUUUAUACUAAGCCACAAGCUUGUGCAAAGCUUAAAGUACUAGUGAGUAGUGUUCUGGGCUGCAGAGAAGUGACCUCACUGAGAUUCCUGUAGCACAGGUGAAGUAGUUAGAGACACAGUUCUGUCUUAGCGCUAUUUGCAUGACUAGAGGCUUAAAGUGUGAAGGCCUCUGGAAGUGUCCUGAAGCCUGUAACAAUGUGUGGUCUAGGCUACCUUCUUCCCUAAGGGAGCUUAGGAGAUGGAGUUUUCCUGCUUUACCGGGAAGCAGAUCAUGGGCUUUGAUAGGCUAAUUACUAAGAGACCUUUUAGAAAUGUGUGUGCUGAUGUCACUUUGUAUGAAACAUGAGUCCUAACAAACAAUAAGAUUUAAUGUUAUUAAAUUUGGGACUAAAUUUUGGGCUAUUUUGGAAUGACUACUCAAUCAUCAGGGUUUUGGAAACAUUUUUACCUUAAAUUUUCAUUAAUUAGUUGCUACUUUUUGGUGCCUGGGAUAAGUUAACAAAUAGAGCCCUUUCAUGUGCUCUUGGAAAAGUAGUCUUAUUGAGAAUGUCCCUGAGGAUUUCAGGAGCACAGUUUGAGGUCUCUAGUGCAGUUAUCCUUACCAUCCUGCUGGCUGUUACAGUCAUAGUCAUUUCCUUGGCAGAUGGCUGAAAGGUCUUGAAUCAUCCCUAAGCACUAACAGCCUGAGCACAGCUUCCUCAUGAAAGGAGUCAGCACUAAAGCCAGCAGCUGUUGUUGGGGAUUUUAGUCACCGCAGUGUUCUGCCCUAGUCCACUGCGGUUUUGCCUCGCCUUAGUGUGAUGUCUUUUAUCCCCUCUGCCCCCUAAAAUCUCCUUGAGUUAUAUCCCCUUUUUGGAAUUAUUGAAGUUGGAGGAUCCUGUUCUGCUUAUUUUCAGUGUUUCCAGUGCUAGUGAUCACGAAUGACUUGUACAUCCAAGGUCAAAAUGAUAGAAACUAUUUACAGAGUGAACAUCUGGUCCUGAGGACUGAAUUCGCUUUUGUUAACCUCAUGACUUAGGGGACUGUUUCUGGAAUCUAGUUAAUGUUAAAAAAAGAGUUGACAUAUUUAGAAUUUUAAAUACUUAAGUCAAGAAGCGCUUUGUCCUCUCACCCAACUCUCGGGAGACUGUUUGAGCCUUGUAAGUAGUAGUUUAGCUGCUGAAUAACGAUUUCAGAACAUCUGAGGGGAUUCAUGGUCUUUCUAGUCUCCCAAGUAGUUAAAUUAACCAGCAGAGGAAAAGCCAUUCAAUCCUGCCCUUGGCUGAGAGCCUUGCUUGCCACUCUCCAAAGACUGCUCUUGGUUACCUUCCCCAGUCUUUUCUGUUCUGUUGUUUCUCUAAUUUCCCUCUCCCUGAUUUUUUUUUUAAAGAUUUAUUUAUUUAUUAUAUGUAAGUACGCUGUAGCUGUCUUCAGACACACCAGAAGAGGGCAUCAAAUCUCAUUACAGAUGGUUGUGAGCCACCAUGUGGUUGCUGGGAUGUGAACUCAGGACCUUCGGAAGAGCAGUCAGUGCUCUUAACUGCUGAGCCAUCUCACCAGCCCCUCUCCCGCUUUUUAUUGCCCUUAGUUUUGCUGUUGCUGGAAUUACAGUGUUGGUUCCCAUUUCCCGAUUUCUCACAUUAUAGUCAAGGGGAAAGGGUUACAUAAGGUACUUGUUUUUUAGGCCUCUUUGAGCCAGAAAGUGAGCAGAUGGAAACAUUUCUCUGGAUGCUCCUGAAAGUGUUUUGUUAAAAUGCAUACUAGGGCCUGGAGAGACAGCUCAGCAGUUCAGAGCACUGGUUACUCUUGCAGAGGAUUCAGGUUUGGUUGCCAGCACCCAUGUGUAACUAUAUCUGUAACUGUAGUUCCAUGGGAUCCAGUAUUCUGUGCUGGUCUCUGUGAGCACUGCACAUGUGUGUGUUGCACUGGCAAAACACUCAUAUGCAUAUAAUAAAAAUCAAUCUUUUUAAAAGAUGUCUAAUAGGGCCAGGAAGGUGGCUCAAUGAUAAGAACACACUUCCUGUGAGAGCCUAGCCUUUAAAUGCCCUUUUAUAUAAAAAUAAAAUUUUAAACUGGAUGUGGUAGUGAAAGUGUGGCCCUGCCAUGUGAAGAGCUAAGGUGGGAGGGUCAGCUGCUGUCAAGCUUGAGGGUUGCGUGGGUUCCACCAAGCCCUGCCUCUAGUUAUUCAAUCUUAAGAACAUGGCUCAGUGUAGCUCAGUGGUAGACUGUGUACUUAGGAUGCAGGAGGCUCUGGCUCCAAUCUUAAGCAUAAACUAUGAGUAAUAAAGCUGUUUGAUUUUGAUCCUGGCUGGGUAUGGUACCCCGGUGCGGAUCCACUUGGAAGAUGGAGUUGGGGAGGGUGGGUUCCAGGCCAACUUAAGCU